GAGUUUGAUCCUGGCUCAGAAUCAACGCUGGCGGCGUGCCUAACACAUGCAAGUCGAGCGAGAAAAGGGGGGCAACUCCCUGAGUAAAGCGGCGCACGGGUGAGUAACACGUGGGUAAUCUGCCCUGAAGUGGGGAAUAACACCGGGAAACCGGUGCUAAUACCGCAUACGAUCACAGAGUCUGCGGAUUUUGUGAUGAAAGGAGCAAUUCGCUUUAGGAGGAGCCCGCGGCUGAUUAGCUAGUUGGUGAGGUAAUGGCUCACCAAGGCAACGAUCAGUAUCCGGUCUGAGAGGACGGUCGGACACACUGGAACUGAGACACGGUCCAGACUCCUACGGGAGGCAGCAGUGGGGAAUUUUUGGCAAUGGGGGCAACCCUGACCAAGCAACGCCGCGUGGGUGAUGAAGUCUCUUGGGACGUAAAACCCUUUCGACGGGGAAGAAACCGCAAGGUUGACGGUACCCGUAGAAGAAGCCCCGGCUAACUCCGUGCCAGCAGCCGCGGUAAUACGGGGGGAGCAAGCGUUGUUCGGAUUUACUGGGCGUAAAGGGCGGGUAGGCGGCCACCGCAAGUCAGUUGUGAAAUCUCUGGGCUUAACCCAGAAAGGUCAACUGAUACUGCGGGGCUAGAGUGCAGAAGGGGCAACUGGAAUUCUCGGUGUAGCGGUGAAAUGCGUAGAUAUCGAGAGGAACACCUGCGGCGAAGGCGGGUUGCUGGGCUGACACUGACGCUGA
This 735-nucleotide ribosomal RNA is filed under the name uncultured bacterium. RNAcentral describes it as "bacterial SSU rRNA". It matches the Rfam family "Bacterial small subunit ribosomal RNA", at positions 9 to 749 of the family's 1533-position model. The record is from RNAcentral.